Molecule: ribosomal RNA, 937 nt
Filed under: Desmodora pontica
Lineage: Eukaryota; Metazoa; Nematoda; Chromadorea; Desmodorida; Desmodoridae
Description: SSU rRNA
Rfam family: Eukaryotic small subunit ribosomal RNA
Source: RNAcentral
AUGCAUGUCUAAGCAUGAGCCGAAUUAUGGUGAAGCCGCGAAUGGCUCAUUACAACAGCCUUUGUUUCUUGGAUCUUGAACUACUUGGAUAACUGUGGUAAUUCUAGAGCUAAUACAUGCAACCAAGCUCUGACCUUGGGGAAGGAGUGCAUUUAUUAGACCAAGACCAAUCAGGCUUUGCCUGGAAUCUGGUGACUCUGAAUAACUUUGCUGAUCACACGGUCCUAGCACCGGUGACAUAUCUUUCAAGUGUCUGCCCUAUCAACUUUCGAUGGUAGUUUAUGUGCCUACCAUGGUGUUAACGGGUAACGGAGAAUAAGGGUUCGACUCCGGAGAGGGAGCCUGAGAAAUGGCUACCACAUCCAAGGAAGGCAGCAGGCGCGCAAAUUACCCACUCUCAGAACGAGGAGGUAGUGACGAAAAAUAACGAGAUGGUUCUCUAUGAGGCCCAUCAUCGGAAUGGGUACAAUUUAAACCCUUUAACGAGGAUCUAUUGGAGGGCAAGUCUGGUGCCAGCAGCCGCGGUAAUUCCAGCUCCAAUAGCAUAUGCCAACGUUGCUGCUGUUGAAAAGCUCGUAGUUGGAUCAUUCCGAGGAUGGAGUCUGUCUCAAGGACAUGCACUCUUGGUCCAAGGAUGUUUUCGCUGGUUUUCCUCUGGUGCUCUUCACCGAGUGUCAGGGGUGGCUAGCACGUUUACUUUGAAAAAAUUAGAGUGCUCAAAACAGGCGUUACUGCCUGAAUAGUGGUGCAUGGAAUAAUGGAAUAGGAUCUCAGUUCUAUUUUGUUGGUUUUAGGGGCAUGAGAUAAUGAUUAAGAGGGACAGACGGGGGCAUUCGUAUUGUGGCGUUAGAGGUGAAAUUCUUGGAUCGCUGCAAGACGAACAACUGCGAAAGCAUUUGCCAAGAAUGUUUUCAUUAAUCAAGAACGAAAGUUAGAG